Long non-coding RNA from Cloeon dipterum, 312 nucleotides. RefSeq lists it as uncharacterized. The record is from RefSeq and is a predicted model, not a curated record. Lineage: Eukaryota; Metazoa; Arthropoda; Insecta; Ephemeroptera; Baetidae. The transcript has 4 exons.
GGACGUGCAUAGCUUGAGAGGAAAAUUGGACUCAGUAGAAAAACAAUUAUUGUUGUCGCACGUGGAGCGUAAAAUAGAGAAAAAAGCCGAAAAUAAAAGCGUAGCAGAGUUUCAUCAGCAGGUGAAUUGCUCAAAAUCGUCAAAACUGGCCCUGGUGACGCUGAACAACGUGACGUACUAUUUUCAAUCUAGUCCGAUGAUGAAUUGGAAUUCAGCAAAGCAGUUUUGCGAAGAUCACGGCAUGUCGCUGGCUACGCCAAACUCGCAAACUGAGCUGACAGCGAUGCACAAACAUGCAAAAAGUCUGUCUGG